AGCAGCCGCGGUAAUUCCAGCUCCAAUAGCGUAUAUUAAAGUUGUUGCAGUUAAAAAGCUCGUAGUUGAAUUUCGGGAUCAAUAUAUCGGUCGUGCCUUCGGUACGUACUGGUAUCAUUGGUUUCUCCUUUCUGACGAACCAUGAUGUCAUUAAUUUGGUGUUAUGGGGAGUUAGGACUGUUACUUUGAAAAAAUUAGAGCGUUAAAGCAGGCUUUAGCUUGAAUACAUUAGCAUGGAAUAAUGAAAUAGGACGUUCGAACCUAUUUUGUUGGUUUCUAGGAUCAACGUAAUGAUUAAUAGGGAUAGUUGGGGGCAUUAGUAUUCAAUUGUCAGAGGUGAAAUUCUUGGAUUAUUGGAAAGACUAACUACUGCGAAAGCAUUUGCCAAGGAUGUUUUCAUUAAU
Molecule: unclassified non-coding RNA, 404 nt
Filed under: uncultured Glomus
Lineage: Eukaryota; Fungi; Glomeromycota; Glomeromycetes; Glomerales; Glomeraceae
Description: SSU rRNA
Rfam family: Eukaryotic small subunit ribosomal RNA
Source: RNAcentral